Homo sapiens (human) is the source of this 1240-nucleotide long non-coding RNA. Ensembl annotates it as PKN2 antisense RNA 1. Its record names the gene PKN2-AS1. The record is from Ensembl. Lineage: Eukaryota; Metazoa; Chordata; Mammalia; Primates; Hominidae.
ACUUCACUGACUUUGUCCUUUACAUUGACAAGCUAGAUAAGAUGAUAUCGUUUUAAAUAAUCAUUUGCGUUUAGGUAUUUCUCUGGCAGUUUUGUAUUACAGUUUAAAAAUAGACUAGCCUAUGUCUAUGGCUCAUGUUGGCUAUGGUAUUUUGAACUUGAUUUCUGAGGCUGCUGACAGCUUUUGAAAGAUUUAACAACUGGCAGCAAGAAAAACUUCCAUAGAAUCUCUUCUCUGAAAUUUUUUCUGCUGGAAAAAAGGGCAUCACUUAGCAGGCGUAAAUGUCUCAGUCACUGACUAUAAGUACAAAGGGCCCAGAAGCUGGAAUCUGAAGACAAACAUGGCUCCACUACAUUUUACUCUCAUUGCCUUGGGAAACAUUACUUAAACCAGAAGAAUCUAUUGCCCUCUUUACUUCACAGUGCUACAGAGAGGAUUACAUGAGCCAAUAUUUAUUCAAGAGAAAUGACAAAAAGACUGAGAAUCUCUGAGGUCCUUGGGUUUCCAGAGGUAUUCCUGCAAGGAACAGUCAAGCAGCAUCAAACCUUCAGACCUUCUGAAACAGCCUGGUUCCUCCCAGCACUGGGUCUGGUUCUGCCGCCCUCCUUUCCAACAUGUCACGUCAGUCAUCCUCCCAACAAAUUCAGUAGUUGGUUAAGCAAGCCAUAUACAGUGUUAGUUGACUGAAAUCAAAGCUCUAUAGCUAAUACCAGAGGAAAGCAAAGUUCUGAUUUUCAUAAGGUUUUGAAUGCUGUGCUAUGGAUUUUGGACUUUAUUUUGAAGGCAAUAAAGAUUGUAAUAAAGAUAGUAGCAUGAGUGAACUGGUUAAGAGAUUUGCCAAAAUGUCUAGCCAUUCAACUUCGUAAGUAUAUGAAAUUCUCCAUAGAAGUAUAAUGUUAAAUAAGUGGCCUUCAGUAAGGCAAAAACAAACAAACAAAAAAAUAGAUAGCUGCUCUUUCUAUUUCUGUUACUAUUAAAGAAAAUGUAGCUUUCCAAAUGACUUAAUUUUACUCAUGAAUGAAUGAAUAUUGAGUUAAUAACACUCUCCAUACUUUCCCUUUUUUAUAUAUAUAUAACUUGAGAUAAUAAUUGCUACUUAAAGUAGGAUGUUUAUAAAUACAUGGCAGUACUGUGUAUGCUUUCUUCUUUGUGGUUUUUAUAUGCUUUUAUACGUUCUGUGUAUGAAUGUUGAGGAGAACUUCUUUUAGAAUUAGUUAGAAUAAACUUGUUCAUUCUGAAA